UACGUAGGGAGCAAGCGUUGUCCGGAAUCAUUGGGCGUAAAGCGCGCGUAGGUGGCCAUGUAAGUCCGCUGUGAAAGUCAAAGGCUCAACCUUUGAAAGCCGGUGGAUACUGCAUGGCUAGAGUACGGAAGAGGCGAGUGGAACUCCUGGUGUAGCGGUGGAAUGCGCAGAUAUCAGGAGGAACACCAAUAGCGAAGGCAGCUCGCUGGGACGUUACUGACACUGAGGCGCGAAAGCGUGGGGAGCGAACAGG
RNAcentral lists this ribosomal RNA (253 nucleotides) under uncultured bacterium. RNAcentral's name for it is "partial 16S ribosomal RNA". It matches the Rfam family "Bacterial small subunit ribosomal RNA", at positions 524 to 776 of the family's 1533-position model. The record is from RNAcentral.